AAUCCGGAUAGAGGCAUCAAGGAAGCUCACAAAGGAAGAGGAGAAGAAGCUCAAAGAUAGAGCCAUGCCAAGGUUUAGUCGACUCGAGCUUUUCUUUGCAAAUAUCAUGAACUAUAUUCUCUACGAGACAGUAUUCGGCAAGUGGUUUAGUCCAGUUGUUUGGCUCAUUACUCGGUACAUCACACUGGAGAAUUUGUCCAACAAAGCCUCCACAAGAAAACCAGCAAUCGAUAAGAGUUACCAUGUUGUUGCCAAUAAUGUUAAUUUUGACAUUGAGCAUCAUGAGAUGGAGUACGCCUAUGAUUCUAAAAACGCCAAGGAAGUUCUUCGGGCGUAUAGGGAUGUUUUUCGAGGUCUUCCAUCAAACU
Molecule: non-coding RNA, 368 nt
Filed under: Thalassiosira rotula
Lineage: Eukaryota; Bacillariophyta; Thalassiosirophyceae; Thalassiosirales; Thalassiosiraceae
Source: RNAcentral